This 82-nucleotide transfer RNA is filed under the name Pseudomonas carnis. Its description in RNAcentral is "tRNA-Arg". The record is from RNAcentral. Lineage: Bacteria; Pseudomonadati; Pseudomonadota; Gammaproteobacteria; Pseudomonadales; Pseudomonadaceae.
GACCGGGCUGGGGCACGGGGUUCGAUUCCGGCUUCGGACCGGGCUGGGGCACGGGGUUCGAUUCCGGCUUUGGACCCGGCUG